RNAcentral lists this unclassified non-coding RNA (264 nucleotides) under plant metagenome. RNAcentral's name for it is "partial contains small subunit ribosomal RNA, internal transcribed spacer 1, and 5.8S ribosomal RNA". The record is from RNAcentral.
UUUCCGUAGGUGAACCUGCGGAAGGAUCAUUAUUGAAACUUCAGCCGGCGCGCCUCGGUCCUCAGCCCCGGUGGACAUGCCGUGCUGGGUGGGCCGCGCGUGCACUCGUCCAAACCAAACCCCUGUGAACCUUACGGGAUGGCCCGGGUUAGCGCACGGUGCCGUUCCGCUCUGUAUAAACACUUAUCAAAGAAUGAACUGAAGGCAGUCUGACCGCAGAAUAACAAACUGAAACAACUUUCAACAACGGAUCUCUUGGCUCUG